RNAcentral lists this ribosomal RNA (460 nucleotides) under uncultured bacterium. Its description in RNAcentral is "partial 16S ribosomal RNA". It matches the Rfam family "Bacterial small subunit ribosomal RNA", at positions 338 to 795 of the family's 1533-position model. The record is from RNAcentral.
CCUACGGGAGGCAGCAGUGAGGAAUAUUGGUCAAUGGACGAGAGUCUGAACCAGCCAAGUAGCGUGAAGGAUGACUGCCCUAUGGGUUGUAAACUUCUUUUAUAUGGGAAUAAAAUGUUCCACGUGUGGGAUUUUGUAUGUACCAUAUGAAUAAGGAACGGCUAACUCCGUGCCAGCAGCCGCGGUAAUACCGAGGAUCCGAGCGUUAUCCGGAUUUAUUGGGUUUAAAGGGAGCGUAGGUGGAUUGUUAAGUCAGUUGUGAAAGUUUGCGGCUCAACCGUAAAAUUGCAGUUGAAACUGGCAGUCUUGAGUACAGUAGAGGUGGGCGGAAUUCGUGGUGUAGCGGUGAAAUGCUUAGAUAUCACGAAGAACUCCGAUUGCGAAGGCAGUUCACUGGACUGCAACUGACACUGAGGCUCGAAAGUGUGGGUAUCAAACAGGAUUAGAUACCCUUGUAGUC